AACAAAAGUUACAGCAUUUAAACAGAGACGUACUAUGUCAGUCAAUCUGACCCAUCAGGUGUUGAUUAAAAAAAAAGCGUCUGUGAGGCAGCUUUUGGUGAAUGUUGCCAUAUUUUGACAUCACAAUGGAGCUAAUUUACAACGCACAACAAGCUUCACCGAUGACAUGGUCGGAGGCGGGCCGGCCCGCUGGAGUCUGAAGGGCUCCUGCAGGCUCCAGCCGGAGCGCCACUCGGCAGCCACGGCGGCGUCAGGCUGGCUGGAACCGCAGCGCCGGCGCUCCAGAUCCCUCCGCCGCCUUCCCACCUGACAAACAUGUUUCAACUGCCGCGGAACAUCACCCCGCCGCCAGGAGGAGGGGAAAGCAUCGUGUCCCCUUUUUUUUGCACAGCGGUUCGUCUGGUGUGACAGCGGAGUGGCCGCCGUCCUCCACGCCGUAAAGAGGC
Hippocampus zosterae (dwarf seahorse) is the source of this 446-nucleotide long non-coding RNA. RefSeq lists it as uncharacterized. The record is from RefSeq and is a predicted model, not a curated record. Lineage: Eukaryota; Metazoa; Chordata; Actinopteri; Syngnathiformes; Syngnathidae. The transcript has 3 exons.